This 1536-nucleotide ribosomal RNA is filed under the name Escherichia coli. RNAcentral's name for it is "partial 23S ribosomal RNA". It matches the Rfam family "Bacterial large subunit ribosomal RNA", at positions 1411 to 2925 of the family's 2925-position model. The record is from RNAcentral. Lineage: Bacteria; Pseudomonadati; Pseudomonadota; Gammaproteobacteria; Enterobacterales; Enterobacteriaceae.
GUAGUCGAUGGGAAACAGGUUAAUAUUCCUGUACUUGGUGUUACUGCGAAGGGGGGACGGAGAAGGCUAUGUUGGCCGGGCGACGGUUGUCCCGGUUUAAGCGUGUAGGCUGGUUUUCCAGGCAAAUCCGGAAAACCAAGGCUGAGGCGUGAUGACGAGGCACUACGGUGCUGAAGUGACAAAUGCCCUGCUUCCAGGAAAAGCCUCUAAGCAUCAGGUAACAUCAAAUCGUACCCCAAACCGACACAGGUGGUCAGGUAGAGAAUACCAAGGCGCUUGAGAGAACUCGGGUGAAGGAACUAGGCAAAAUGGUGCCGUAACUUCGGGAGAAGGCACGCUGAUAUGUAGGUGAAGCGACUUGCUCGUGGAGCUGAAAUCAGUCGAAGAUACCAGCUGGCUGCAACUGUUUAUUAAAAACACAGCACUGUGCAAACACGAAAGUGGACGUAUACGGUGUGACGCCUGCCCGGUGCCGGAAGGUUAAUUGAUGGGGUUAGCGGUAACGCGAAGCUCUUGAUCGAAGCCCCGGUAAACGGCGGCCGUAACUAUAACGGUCCUAAGGUAGCGAAAUUCCUUGUCGGGUAAGUUCCGACCUGCACGAAUGGCGUAAUGAUGGCCAGGCUGUCUCCACCCGAGACUCAGUGAAAUUGAACUCGCUGUGAAGAUGCAGUGUACCCGCGGCAAGACGGAAAGACCCCGUGAACCUUUACUAUAGCUUGACACUGAACAUUGAGCCUUGAUGUGUAGGAUAGGUGGGAGGCUUUGAAGUGUGGACGCCAGUCUGCAUGGAGCCGACCUUGAAAUACCACCCUUUAAUGUUUGAUGUUCUAACGUUGGCCCGUAAUCCGGGUUGCGGACAGUGUCUGGUGGGUAGUUUGACUGGGGCGGUCUCCUCCUAAAGAGUAACGGAGGAGCACGAAGGUUGGCUAAUCCUGGUCGGACAUCAGGAGGUUAGUGCAAUGGCAUAAGCCAGCUUGACUGCGAGCGUGACGGCGCGAGCAGGUGCGAAAGCAGGUCAUAGUGAUCCGGUGGUUCUGAAUGGAAGGGCCAUCGCUCAACGGAUAAAAGGUACUCCGGGGAUAACAGGCUGAUACCGCCCAAGAGUUCAUAUCGACGGCGGUGUUUGGCACCUCGAUGUCGGCUCAUCACAUCCUGGGGCUGAAGUAGGUCCCAAGGGUAUGGCUGUUCGCCAUUUAAAGUGGUACGCGAGCUGGGUUUAGAACGUCGUGAGACAGUUCGGUCCCUAUCUGCCGUGGGCGCUGGAGAACUGAGGGGGGCUGCUCCUAGUACGAGAGGACCGGAGUGGACGCAUCACUGGUGUUCGGGUUGUCAUGCCAAUGGCACUGCCCGGUAGCUAAAUGCGGAAGAGAUAAGUGCUGAAAGCAUCUAAGCACGAAACUUGCCCCGAGAUGAGUUCUCCCUGAGACUUAGAGUCUCCUGAAGGAACGUUGAAGACGACGACGUUGAUAGGCCGGGUGUGUAAGCGCAGCGAUGCGUUGAGCUAACCGGUACUAAUGAACCGUGAGGCUUAACCUU